Lepisosteus oculatus (spotted gar) is the source of this 68-nucleotide microRNA precursor. It matches the Rfam family "mir-139 microRNA precursor family". The record is from Rfam. Lineage: Eukaryota; Metazoa; Chordata; Actinopteri; Semionotiformes; Lepisosteidae.
CUGUAUUCUACAGUGCAUGUGUCUCCAGUGAUCUUAUGCAACUGGAGAUACAGCCCUGUUGGAAUAAC